Molecule: non-coding RNA, 1120 nt
Organism: Nicotiana tabacum (common tobacco)
Lineage: Eukaryota; Viridiplantae; Streptophyta; Magnoliopsida; Solanales; Solanaceae
Source: RefSeq, a predicted model, not a curated record
UCUUACACAAAUAUUAUACACAUUAAACCAAAGACUGAAACGACACAUAUGACCUAUAUAUAUUCAACUCCACGCACCAAAGGAUAAUAUCAAUCUCAUCUCUAUUAUUGCAUCCUAUACAUAUACCAAAGAAACAAAGUAAUAUAAUCUGUACUUUAUUUUUCUUGAGCCAUGCCGGAAUCCAACUUGAACGGAGCAUAUUAUGGCCCUUCCAUUCCGCCACCAGCAAAAUCCUAUCACCGCCACGGCCGCGGCAGCAGCUGCAACCCAUGUAGCUGUCUCUUUGGCUGCCUCUGCAAUUGUUUUUUCAAAAUUAUCUUCACCCUUCUGAUCAUCCUCGGAGUCAUUGCAUUAGUUCUCUGGCUCGUUCUUCGUCCUAACAAAGUCAAAUUCUACGUGACCGAUGCCACGUUGACACAGUUCGAUUUGUCCAACACAAACAACACUAUUUUCUAUGAUCUUGCUCUUAAUAUGACUAUUAGAAACCCCAACAAGCGUAUUGGAAUUUACUAUGAUUCAAUUGAAGCUAGAGCUAUGUAUCAAGGCGAGAGGUUUCAUAGUACAAAUUUGGAACCAUUUUAUCAGGGUCACAAGAAUACUAGCAGCUUGCAUCCAGUGUUCAAAGGUCAAAGCUUGGUUCUAUUGGGAGACAGAGAGAAAUCCAAUUACAAUAAUGAGAAGAAUUUAGGAGUUUAUGAGAUGGAAGUGAAGCUUUACAUGCGUAUUAGGCUAAAGGCUGGUUGGAUCAAAACACACAAAAUUAAGCCAAAGAUUGAGUGUGAUUUCAAGGUUCCUCUGGAGUCUAAUGGCAGAUCAUCAUCUGCUAAUUUCGAGGAAACUAGAUGCCAUCUUGAUUGGUAGUUUUCUUCUAUCAUCGCACCAUUAUUGAUCGUCUUCACAUUUCGAUGGAGUUUGCUUCUGUUUUUUCAUUAUUUUUAUAUAUUUAGAUUUGUUCUAUUUCCUAUAUUCUUUGGAUAUUAGCAGAUAUUCUUGAUUAUGGGAUUUCUAUCCCUUUUGUUUUUCCGGCGUUUAGUGUUCAUUGAUAUACAUGGUACCAUCUUGUUAUAUUUGGAUAUGGUUGUAUGUAAAUAAAUAAUGAGUUCGUCUAUAUUUUUGCUGA